AGAAACUGUCAUGAUUUUCAUGUACAUCUUUCCAAGUACUGCAUGCAUGCGAUCGACCGACUGCCGGUAAUGACAUUUCUUUCUCAUGGGGCAAACCCAACUCCAUCCGAAGGAGAAUUGAUUGCCGAUGGUGCACACUUUUUCUUUCAUUCUUUAACAUAAAAAAAUGAUGGCAGCUUAUUUUGCAACGUCAACCAGUUGAACAAAUUUGAAAAUAAUCCAGCCUCUUUCUACCGAUCUGUCCUUAU
Molecule: long non-coding RNA, 248 nt
Filed under: Elaeis guineensis (African oil palm)
Lineage: Eukaryota; Viridiplantae; Streptophyta; Magnoliopsida; Arecales; Arecaceae
Description: long non-coding RNA (EGUI_LNC023336)
Source: RNAcentral